GUGUGUACACAUGAAGAUUUGAACAUUUGGAGUGACUUGAAGUGGAACCACUAUCAGAAUUGAACCAUAAAGGAGUGAUCACUUUUGAAUGGAGUGUUUUUCUCCCACCUGAGUGGGGUUUUUUUUUUCUCACCUUUGUGUGUUUUUAUGGAGUGACACCUAACCUAAAGUGGUAAUUUCCUACGGAUCUGGGGUAACCACCAGUUGGCAACGGACAAUUAUUUGUUGUUGGAGUAAAUGAGUUUUGGGAUUUCCAGCAAGGGUUCCUGGUUUUGAACCUUUACCAUGGCAGUGCCACUACAUAACCGUUUCCAGGCUCUAGUUAGUUUAAAUGAUGAGGGGAUGGUAAGACAGGUGAACAAAUUGGCGGCCUUUAUUAAACCCUCCUCGCCUAACCAACAGACCCUGGCAAAGGCCCAUUCCAGUUAUGCGGCUGCGGUGACCAGCAAGUCACCAACUGGUAGGGUCUCAAUGGGAGCCCAGGCCCACAGGGACUUUGGAAUA
Long non-coding RNA from Coregonus clupeaformis (lake whitefish), 504 nucleotides. RefSeq lists it as uncharacterized. The record is from RefSeq and is a predicted model, not a curated record. The transcript is spliced from 4 exons. NCBI's taxonomy places the organism in Eukaryota, Metazoa, Chordata, Actinopteri, Salmoniformes, Salmonidae.